UACGUAGGGGGCAAGCGUUAUCCGGAUUUACUGGGUGUAAAGGGAGCGCAGACGGCAGUGCAAGUCUGGAGUGAAAGCCCGGGGCCCAACCCCGGGACUGCUCUGGAAACUGUACGGCUAGAGUACGGGAGGGGCAGGCGGAAUUCCUAGUGUAGCGGUGAAAUGCGUAGAUAUCAGGAGGAACACCAGUGGCGAAGGCGGCCUACUGGACGGUGACUGACGCUGAGGCUCGAAAGCGUGGGGAGCAGACAGG
Molecule: ribosomal RNA, 253 nt
Filed under: uncultured bacterium
Lineage: Bacteria
Description: partial 16S ribosomal RNA
Rfam family: Bacterial small subunit ribosomal RNA
Source: RNAcentral